GCUCCCAUAGCUCAACUGGAUAGAGCAACAGCCUUCUAAGCUGUAGGUUCUAGGUUCAAGUCCUAGUGGGAGUAC
RNAcentral lists this transfer RNA (75 nucleotides) under uncultured marine virus. RNAcentral describes it as "tRNA-Arg". It matches the Rfam family "tRNA". Rfam says of the family: Transfer RNA (tRNA) molecules are approximately 80 nucleotides in length. Their secondary structure includes four short double-helical elements and three loops (D, anti-codon, and T loops). The record is from RNAcentral.